RNAcentral lists this unclassified non-coding RNA (352 nucleotides) under soil metagenome. Its description in RNAcentral is "partial contains 5.8S ribosomal RNA, internal transcribed spacer 2, and large subunit ribosomal RNA". The stretch from base 1 to 120 matches the Rfam family "5.8S ribosomal RNA", at positions 35 to 154 of the family's 154-position model. The record is from RNAcentral.
GAUGAAGAACGUAGCGAAAUGCGAUAAGUAAUGCGAAUUGCAGAAUCCGUGAGUCAUCGAAUCUUUGAACGCACAUUGCGCCCCUUGGUUAUUCCGAAGGGCAUGCCUGUUCGAGCGUCAUUAUCACCCCUCAAGCCCUGGCUUGGUGUUGGACUUUAGUUAUAGCUUUGCCUAUCAACUGGUCUCAAAGAUAGUGACGGCGCCCCAGAGGGAACCGGGUACGAGGAGCUUUUUACUAAGCAUGUAUCUGGGACGACUCUGGGCGACGGUCUUGUUAUACUUUCUACCUAAGUGUUGACCUCGGAUCAGGUAGGAAUACCCGCUGAACUUAAGCAUAUCAAUAAGCGGAGGA